Molecule: long non-coding RNA, 952 nt
Filed under: Sinocyclocheilus anshuiensis
Lineage: Eukaryota; Metazoa; Chordata; Actinopteri; Cypriniformes; Cyprinidae
Description: lncRNA (ENSSANG00000014420.1)
Source: RNAcentral
GUUUUGCGUAGGACGGUUAACGUAUAAAACCGAUUGCGAAGUUUAGCUCUUCGGUUUUGUUCAGCUGCUCAAAAUGACACUAUUAAAGUGUCAGCAUUGUGUUAGAGAGGAUAAAGCAGCAGAGGACACAGAUCAUGUGGAGAAAAUCUUGCCACCCGGCUACAGUCAUCUACUUUGUCAUUAUGAACUGCUGGAAAUGUCGGGGGAUAUUGAAAACUUCAGAGCAGCUCUUAAAUUGCAGAUGACUACUGAGGAGCAGGUCCAGAAGUGGUUGGAGGACUUCCAGAAGUCCUCAGCUUUAACAUGGAGGAAAUCCAGGACAUACCCUGACUCUGGACGCUACAACAAAUACAGAGUGGAUCUGAGAUGCCAGCACAAAACACAAGUUCAUCAUCCAAAACGACCAAAAAUACCAACUGCCCUGCCACCAUGUUUCUGAUUCUCAAGAGAUUUAUGUAUGAAAGAAAGUCCAGGUGAGACCAAAACGAGACCAAGGUAAUGUACUAUAAAUACAAUUCAAUUCAUCUUGAACACCCAAAUGUUUGAUCACAAUAAAUUGAAUUCACAGGAGGUCAUGCAAUCUAUGCAUUAAAACAUAAUACUUCAUCUAUCCUUCCACAGAUCAGGAGACCCACACCUUGAAGAGGGCUAUUUCCUUCAUGUGAACUUGAGGAAUGAACAUAAUCAUAGACUGAACACAGCUGAGGCCAUGAGGUGGAGAGAUGUGUCGAAUGACACCAUUGAAAAGUUACAACAGCUCUACAAAAGCGGUCACUCUCCUUCAUCUGCACUCAAGAAUAUUAAAUACAGCCUGCAGGAAGAGGAAGGCGAUAACUACAUUUACGCUACUGCGGAUCGAUCCAUCUGCCCAGACCUUCAGUUCUGCUACAGGUCAGUCAAACUAGUUCAAAACACGUGUUUCAAACUCGUGUGUAAAUCUUUGUAAUAAUUG